Molecule: ribosomal RNA, 166 nt
Filed under: Hypholoma sublateritium
Lineage: Eukaryota; Fungi; Basidiomycota; Agaricomycetes; Agaricales; Strophariaceae
Also listed under: 2 other names
Description: 5.8S ribosomal RNA
Rfam family: 5.8S ribosomal RNA
About the family: 5.8S ribosomal RNA (5.8S rRNA) is a component of the large subunit of the eukaryotic ribosome.
Source: RNAcentral
AUACAACUUUCAGCAACGGAUCUCUUGGCUCUCGCAUCGAUGAAGAACGCAGCGAAAUGCGAUAAGUAAUGUGAAUUGCAGAAUUCAGUGAAUCAUCGAAUCUUUGAACGCACCUUGCGCUCCUUGGUAUUCCGAGGAGCAUGCCUGUUUGAGUGUCAUUAAAUUC